Molecule: non-coding RNA, 3198 nt
Organism: Coturnix japonica (Japanese quail)
Lineage: Eukaryota; Metazoa; Chordata; Aves; Galliformes; Phasianidae
Source: RefSeq, a predicted model, not a curated record
AAUAAUUUCCCCUCCUCCCCUUUUGCUCCCGCUCAGCGACAGACCUGGCUCCUUUCACGCUUUGUCCUCCCUCUUUCUUUCGUUCUUGCUCGCGCUCUCUCUCUCUCCCUUUUUUAUCUUCCUUCCUUUUCCUACUCCUUGUUUCUUUCUCUCUCUGGCUUUUGUGCAGGGGGCCGUGACGAAUGGCUCAGAAAAGAGGGUGCUGUGAGAAACUGGAGCUGCUCUGGCGGAGUGGGUGGUGAGGACUUGAGAGACUGAGGAACCAGCAUGAAGUCCAGGGCUGGUGGCACCGUGAUGCACAGGGUGGAACCGCUGUGCUGCUCCCCCUGGGAAGGCCAAGAUGUACAUGGGUCAAUCAGAGCAAGGGCUGUAUGUGGGAUGGCUCUGCUCACUGUGACAUCCCCCCCCUGCUCCUGGUGCUGUGGGGCCCACUGACAGGGUUCUCAGCACCUGCAGGAGGACACGAGGAGAGAGAACAUCCCUGAUGUGCAUCCUGCACCUUGCUCGCCCAAGGCCAGGGCAGCUCCACCAGCAGCUCCUCGCUGACCCUUCCUGCACCCUGCUCCCUCAGCCCCAGCUCUCCAUCCUCAGCCCCAGGGAUGGAUCCUGCUGUCCUGCUGCCCACAGCAGGGUCCGGCCGGCAGCCUGCAGGGGACGGGCCUGGCAGGCUCCAGCAGCAGGAGGGCUCAUGCAUUACAAUCCAGUACAAUCUGUCCCCCUUCCCGCUGCCCAGCAGUAGGGGAGACGGUUACUGUUUAAUCCCAUUUGACAGCUCUUUCAUCAUCUGCCUGCCUCCCUCCAGCUUCCCCGUGGUUCCUCCAAGGCUCCUUUGUGGCCAUAAUCAAAGCCUGCAUGAACUCAACACCCUGCAGUGCCAUCAGGGAGUCAUUGGAGCUGCUGGCCUGGCCUGACCCUCAUAAAGUCACUGAGUUUUUGUCAUGGGUUUCAAUAGGCUGUAGUGCUCUGCCUUUGCCUUGCUAUAAAGUUUUUGGGGCUUUAUUUCCCCCCACUACCACCAGGCAGAAAUGAGGCAGAGACGAGGCAUUGGUGCACAGGGGAUGGCUUGGCACACACUUCAGGUGCCCCCCAGGCUGACCAGACAAACUGCAGGGUCUGUACCAAGGCCAAUCCUCGCUCAGGGGUGGCAGAGCUGGGAGGUAGGGGAACGUCCCAGAAAUGUGCCAUGGAGCUGUUCCUGUGGCCAGCCCACGUGCCAUGGCCAAGGGCAGGCUGGAAGCAGAGCCCUGUGCUUCCCAAGGAAGGGAGUCUGCACACCCGUGGGUUAUCGCCUGCAUCAGGGCUCGGUGACGGCGCUUCCCAAGAACACAUGUUCCCUCGUAAACCCGGGAUCCGCUUAUCUCAAAGGGCACAUCCGACAAUUAGCUUAUCUGCUGUGAAAGUGAGGAACAGCUUUAGUUAUCUGCCCGGCUUCCGCAAACCAAAAAAAAAGGAGAAGGAGCCCCUGGAAGGCCGAGGCUCCUACACGGCGUCCUAUAAAUAAAGUGAGCGCUGUGAGUGUGCUGCAGACAGGAUCCAUGUGCUUGCGGUGGGAGCUGGAGAUGCCCCCGAGUUUUAAGGAUGUUCCCUGGUGCUUCCUGGUAUCAAACUCUGCCUUGGGCUGCUGGAGGCUUUGCCAAACCAUUCCAGGCUGGGUGCUGAUAUUUCAGGGUGGGUUGUGGCUUCUUAUUAAAUCUGAGGGGGAAAGGGGGAAAUCUCAUCCAGAGAGCCAGGCUGUUUCCAGGAGUGAGGGUACGAGGAGAUAAAGCAUUUGUCCUUAUUUUGUUUCAAAAUUCUGCCUUUUGAAGCAAGAGCUUGAAAUUUGGCAAGUAGGGAAGGGAGAGAGGCUGAGAUUUGUCUCGUGUCCCUGGAAUAUACUCAAAUUUGACCAAGUCAGAACACUUUAUUUGGGAAAAAAUGCACUUAGCACACGCUGGCCAUGGAAGUGGGCCCUGCUUGGAGGUUCAGGUUCCCCCCUGCAUUUCCCAUCCCAGUGGCACCAGGGGACAUCUUGGGAUGUUGGUGCUUCUUCCCUGGUGCUGCUCUUUGCUCGGCUCCCACAGCAGCAUGGCAGUGCUGGCUUCCACAAUUAACCUUCAUGGUUGCAUGGUGUGGCUGCGGCUGUGCUCGCUGAGCCCAAUGGACCUGAUGGAAGCCGUGGUUUCCCAAGUGUUUGCCCUGAGGCAGCCUGCAGACAGGUGGGCUCCCUUCUGCUGUGCUGUGUUCAAUGUGACUUUGAGUGCUCCACAGCUUUUUUCCUCUUGUCCCUCAACAAACCAGCCUGGAUCACUCAUGUACAAUGAAGCAGAGAGUUGAACCAGCCCUGCAGUGAAGCCGUCCUCUGCACUGAUGGCUGCAGCAGUGAUGUGCAAACCACCCAGGCCCAGUGUGCUGCAGGGAGAGACUGUGAGUGUGGCCCCUCUGCUGCUGCCCCCCAUGCGCUACUCUCUGUCCCCAUCACUGCCACAGGCACAGAGCUGUUGGCAGGAGCAGGAGCUGGGGCUGCUGGGCGGCUCCUUGGCUGUGAUGGGCACCCAGCAACGAAAUGAAAUCGCCAACAGAUGCUGGAGAGAAGGCUGUCAGAGUGCUCUCGAUGGUUCGGAGCCCAGCUGUGGGGCUGUAUGCUGCUGGCUGGCAUCACUCACCUCCCUCCCAGCCCUGCCACCACCUCCUGGUGCCUGCUGGCCUGGCUGGCACCCUCCUGCCUGCAGAGCAGGGACUUUGCUGCUCUGCCUGGAGCACCACAUCCCUUGCUCUAACACCAGCUGUUGGACGAGUUACUCUGCUGCAGGUCACUGCUGAGGACUCCUUCCCAUGGAGAGCUCAGGAGUGCAGUGGUGCCAGUGCCCGGCUUGGGGAGAGGCAGGGGUGGCCCAGGGGCUGCUGCUCCCUGGCUGUGGUCACUGCCCGCUCCCCCCCGGUUCAGCACUUUCUCCCUGCUCUCUUCAAAGUCCACAUGAAGAAACAAGUAUCUUGUUUGCAAACUAAAAACUAGAAAUGAUUUAUAUGUUUAUAAGCCCAGCUCUGGCUCUCUUUGUUUUGGCAAAGUGAUUGUUUGCAUCUUUGCAGAAUUCCUUCACCCAAACCACUCAUUAGAUAUGAAUUUCAAAACAGCCGGAGGGAGCGGGUGACUCAGGGGAAUCAGCUCAUGGCUUCCCAAAGCCUUUUACGUCAAGGCCAGCAGCUCGAUGCCAGUGGCAC